Molecule: non-coding RNA, 1313 nt
Organism: Nicotiana tabacum (common tobacco)
Lineage: Eukaryota; Viridiplantae; Streptophyta; Magnoliopsida; Solanales; Solanaceae
Source: RefSeq, a predicted model, not a curated record
CCGAAACCGAAAUUAAAAAAAAAAUUGGUUCGGUCGGUUUUUUCGGUUCGAACUGAUAUAUGCCCACCCCUACUUACAAUGGUUUAACUACAUUAAUCUAAGUAUUAUUUGAUACUGAAUACAACAGGGAAUAACUUAUUCUGGUAUAAGUACUACUUAUCAUAACUAGUUCAUGAACCAAAUGAACCUCGUUCAGGUUGGAUGUCUAAUUCUUCACAUGAUCAGAGUCAAUGUCUUCAUGUGUGCACCUAGAAUUACGUCAUUGUAGAUUGUGUUAUAUAAACAUGCAAAGGAGUCUAUACAUGUUAUAUUUUUGUUAUUUUAAUCUAAAACUAAGCAUUUGAUAGUUCUUACCGCUGGUGCCAUAUAUAAGCAUUUGAUUAGUUCUUAUCGGUGGAGCUAUCUAUUUCCAUAAUUCCAUGCUACGGGAGUUUACUGAUUAAUAGUACUAUGCAAUUCCACUGUUUCGUUUGUCUUGUUGCCCGAGAAUGGCACUUCGUUGUGAAACUCUCUAUUCCUCCCUCAAGGUCUACUAUUUUAUGGUUAAUAGCAUCAGAAAGAAAUCAUUGAGGCAGAGGUAGUAGUAGUUUCUUGAUUUAAUGCAUUUCGUCUCUCAUCCGGUUGGGCAAAUUUUAUUGCCUAAGACGUGCAGAAAUUCAGCAUUUGGUCUUCAGCUUAUUACUUUCUUUUAUCUUUUACAAUUAUAUGUAGCAUGGAUAUUUCUUUUUAAGUCCAAUGUCAGUUGUAUACUUAUUCUAGUAAGAUUAUGGACUUUGUUCUGAAAUUGGAUUGGUAUAACUUCUUGUUAGAUAUGGGACCGAAGAGUUCAGCAAAGUUCAUCAUUUUACAAUGGACUAAAGUUUAGGUAUGGAGGAUGCAACUUCAGUAUGGGGAAUGAUUCCAAACAAGAGCCCCAUGUUUGCCUUCAUCUUAGUCUGACAGACUAUAGGACUUUUGUGGGCACAAACUUAGGUCCUAUAUGGGAAAGAUUUGUAGUUCCAUCUGAAGAUGAUUGCGAACAAUGUCAGCAUAUAUCAAGUCCCCUCGGUUAUGGUGCAGUUGUUGAGACUUCUGACAUAAGAAUACUUGUGCUUCAACGAAGUAAUAAAGUUGGAGAAUUCCCAGGAUAUUAGUUUUUUCCUGGAGGCCAUCCGGGGGUAUGUCAUCUGCAUCAAUAAGAUGUUGUAGGGAAUUUUUAAUAAAAUGAUAAAGAAAUUUUGCUGAGCAUCAGCUUUUAACAACUCAAAAUGGAAGUAGGAUUUGUAAAAUUGUUGUAACCCAACAAGUAAUGAACCCACAGCCUUUCAUCUUCA